RNAcentral lists this ribosomal RNA (253 nucleotides) under uncultured bacterium. RNAcentral describes it as "partial 16S ribosomal RNA". It matches the Rfam family "Bacterial small subunit ribosomal RNA", at positions 524 to 776 of the family's 1533-position model. The record is from RNAcentral.
CACGGGGGGAGCAAGCGUUGUUCGGAAUUACUGGGCGUAAAGCGCGUGUAGGCUGCUUCGCAAGUCGGGUGUGAAAGCCCUGGGCUCAACCUAGGAAGUGCACUCGAAACUGCGAAGCUUGAGUCCUGGAGAGGAAGGCGGAAUUCUCGGUGUAGAGGUGAAGUUCGUAGAUAUCGAGAGGAACACCGGUGGCGAAGGCGGCCUUCUGGACAGUGACUGACGCUGAGACGCGAAAGCGUGGGGAGCAAACAGG